Sus scrofa (pig) is the source of this 6847-nucleotide non-coding RNA. NCBI's taxonomy places the organism in Eukaryota, Metazoa, Chordata, Mammalia, Artiodactyla, Suidae. The record is from RefSeq and is a predicted model, not a curated record.
AGGGAAUGAGCAAACAAGUGACUGGGGCUACAGGAAGUGAUGGAGACCUCAGAGAUCAUCUGGGAUGGCCCUCCUCCUCUGGGUGAGGAAAUAAACCCAGAGAAGACGCACAAUUGUGGGGGAGCGGCAAUGCAUCUCCAGAGUUGAGGCACUUCAACCCUCACUGCUGAUCCUGCCUUCACAGCAUCAGGCUAAUGGCCAUUCCUGGUAAAGAACAUGUUGGAAAGAAGAGUUGAUAGGCCGGAAUGGAGAAGAGAAAAACAUUUUGCUGAGGUAUGUGGAUUAUUCAAAUGCUGAUAGUGACUUGUCUACAUUCUGCAUAGUACUUAUUGGGUACUAAGAAUGUAUUGUCAGAUGUCAGAUGCUACACAUCAUAGCCGAAACCAUAGCAACUGGGAAGUGAGAUCAUGGGGGAAAAGAGGGAAUGGAAGUAUGUGGACGAUGGUAGCGGCUACCAUCCUCCAUUUACUCUCACUUUGAUGCAUAGGGAGAGGUCUUGAAGAACCAUGAUCCUAAUGACCUAGCUGGUGGAAGAAACCCACAGAAUUGCAGCUUCUCCGUAUUGGCACAGCCAUGGCAUACGGGAAGCCUGUUAUACUACCUCUGAGGACGCUGAGGUGGAUGGUGUGUUGAUGUGGAUAAGGGUGAUGAAAUGAUUUUUAGUCUCACUUAUCAGCAGAAAUUUAAUAUGACCAAAAAAAUCAUUUUAGAAAUAUAUGGGAAGAAGAAUCCUAUCCAUUGUCCUAUCUCUCUUAGCAUAUUGUGAACUUGACUGGCUUGGGAAGAGAAGGUAGUUUAAUUUUUGGGCCGUCUAGAUCCACCCUUCCAUUCACAGACAGUCUUACUCUUUGCUGACCUUUCCAACUGCACUUUUUGUUUCUUGAGCCACAUCCAUUCCUUCCUGUGUGAGGCCUCUUCAGAUGGAUGGUCUAUACUUGUAGGUAAGACUAGACCAAGGAAUGAAUGUUAUAAAGACUGGAACAUAGAAAGGGGAAACUAGUAAACAGAAUGAACUGCUUAGUGAUAAUAGCACAAUGGUCUAGCCCUAGAGGAAGUAGAUAGAGGCUUACUAAUUGUAUUUGUUCAGGGCAUUUCCAAAUUAUUGAGUUUUUGUGUGUUUUUUCCAAAUGCAAGUAGAGACAAAACCUUUCCACCUGUAAGGUCACAAGUUUUCUUCCUUACUGUUAUCAGUUUCCCACUUCUGUCUUUGACCCAUCUGUCUUCCAAAAGCAUGUUUAAGUCUAUGAGGGAGGAAUUAAGGAAUAUUAAUGCUAAGAAUAAAUAAAUAUUAUAUAUUAUAAUAUAAUAUAAAAUUAUAAUUAAUACUAUAAAUAUUAUGCUAAGAAACAUUAUUUAUUAUAAAUAAGAGUAAAUAUUAUGCUAAGAAACAUUAUUUAUUAUAACUCUCCUUUAUGUACCACUGUACUCUGAACACACCAUGAGCUUUAAAAAGGGACCAGUUAGUGAACAAUUACUUUUAAAUAAAAUAAUAAAAUGAAACUGCAUUUUUCCAUAUUUAGAUAUAUUUUCACAUAUUCAUAUUCAUAUUUAUAUGUACGAUCGUACAGCUAUUACUCUAAAUCUGGAUGGCAAUACCUUUGUGCUUACUUUUCAAAAUCUUUGUCUUUGUGUGUAGAAGCUGUGCUGCUGAAACAAAUAUAUUCUCACAGGCUCUAUAACCCAUUAAAACCCUGCAUAACCAUUAAAAACCAAAUGCGUGCUGCUGUCGCCUGGAGGCAUCAUCAGAUUGUUUAAAUUAAACUUUUUUUUAGUACUUGGGGAAGAAAACACAAAUCUACAUCAGAUGGGUCUUUGUGGCGUUUUAAUGAAGAGCUUUUAAAAUAUGAAAAUAAUUCUAGCAAAAUAUCUUGAAUAUUGAUGUGCUAAACAAUAUACAGGGAUCUUCAAAGGAUCUUGAGUUCUUUGCUGUGCUUACCAGCCAAAGAACAUGUACCUAACGUAUUAAAGACUUACGGAUUAUGCCGUGAGAUAUGGUUUGACUCAUAUUUUAGUUGGAUCCAUGCCAUAGUACAGUGCUUUUAAUUGUCUUUUAUCCCGAAUGCUUCUCAGUUGCAAAUAACUCUGCCACACCUGGAUUCAAAUACUUCCAGACCUGACCCAAUCCAACUCCCUAAGAGACCUCCCAGGCUCAAAAAUGUCUCUUUUACUGGCUGCCUGCAAUUUCCAUUAUUAAACUCAUUCCUUUAGGAUAAACUGCCUUCUUUUAAAAUGUGAGCAUACUAUCUGGAUAGGGUAACUAAUGAACAUAUUAAAUUUAUUAUCAAUAUGGAAUUAUAUUGUGCUGUGGGCAGCCCCUGCUCACCCCCUUCCCCAUUUCACAUGGCCCUUCCUAAGAAACUACUCUGCUUCUUGUCUUGCUGCCUCAUUGGAAUGAUAGUUUCCACCCAAAGUGCAGGAGAUGUGCAAACAAAGGCGAAGGAACACCCUUCACCCAGUUCCUUUUGGGAGACCUGGCCCUACAAAGCCAAAGCGAAAGGAUCAAAACUGACUGUUGACAGAAGGAAGGAGAGAGCAAAAGGGAAAUUUUAGACCAGCUUAGGGAAGGCAAGCCCAAAGUGGAUACUAUAGAAUGAAACCCCAAACAGCUGUGUGGGCAGCAUGGCAAUGCCAAUAGCUGAAACAAGAGCCUCCCAUGGAUGGGACAAGGAGCGUGGAAGCCAAAGACAGACAGGCCGGACCCGUCUCCUAGUUUUCAACUUUCCUUCAGUAGACCCAAGAGAGAACAGAACCAGGUGGAGGAAAGAGAUAGGGGAAUCUCAAAUAUUUAUGGGUGUGAUAAGCCUUGGAGAGUUUAAAGCAGAUGGGAGAGACAGGUGAGGCUGGACUGAGGGGAAGGGAAUGUGGCAAAAGGUGGGGGGUCUUAAUGGUUUUUUAAGGAAGCAGUGAUGUCCACGGUGCAGGUGUGGAGUCAAAUAAGACACUCAGUUCUGGUGGCUAAGUGCAUAUUUUCUUUUUACAUGGCUGGGUUAAAUUACUUCCCCUAGGUCAUCCAAUUAAUCACUUGGAGAGCAAGGAAGAGAAUUGAGCUCUCAAGGCUCUCAUUUCACAGCUGGAGCAGGCAAACCUGACUUCUCUUUCCACAAACACCCUUUUCAUUAAAACAAACAAACAAACAAAAAAAAACUUUUGCAAAUCAAUGAAGUUUUGAGCUCUUUUACAAAGAAUUUACGAUACCCCCUUACUCCUUACAUGAUUAACUUGAGGUAGUGUUAGCACAGAGAAGCUCUAUAAAUUGCUUUCUUCUCUUUCAUUGAAGAAUUUUAAAUAUCUAUCACAAUUACUUUGAUUUCCCCCCAUUCCCCCCACCCAGAUUUCAAACUGUUAUUCUGAAGAGCUGAUAAAAAAUUUGAGUUGCAGAUCUGAGAAAACAGUGUGUGUGGAGCUUAACUGCUGCAUGACUGAUUGUGUGAUCUAUUGCUCUUUUCACUAAUAACCACAAAGCAGGUAGAGGCAUGGCAGACUAAUUUGGUUUAUAUGUCCAGCUGUAAGGCUAGACACUGCAUCAUUCUUUUCAGAAACCAGUGACUUUAGGCAUGUGGAACUUGUAGUCAUGACAACAAUAAACCAGCUUGGAGUCUGAGUUUCAGCUCAGAAACUGCCUUGUCUCCAUUACUUCCUGCUCUUGACCUGACUUUUCUUACUCUCUGGGGCUGGGGGCUGGGGAUUUAUGAAAGAUCUAUUGAACAGAGCUCCUGUCUAAGUUUAAUGCUUAAAAUGUCUGGGUUGAAAGUUUUGCUUGCACAGAUGGCUAAAGGCUGCAAGAAGGAUAGAUCAAUCAUUAUUAUAGCUAAUGACACGGUUAUAAGAGUGUACACAAAGGUGAGCUGAUUUGGAAAAUGGGAAAAGGCAAUGUGAAAAGAGUGACUUGGAAGCGUUUCUUUGAAUAACAUAAACAUGGUACAAAUAAAAUGUACUUUUAAACACCGCAGGGUAUUAAUUACUAUAGUUCUGAGAGAACCUAUCCAAAAGGUACAAUGGAGAGUAAUCAGAAAAAAAAUUAGUACACAAUGCUGAGUGCAUGUUUUUGUGUGUAUGUGUGUAGUUUUUAAAAUCUGAAGUAAUAAUUAGCAGAUGCUCAUGGCAAAAUCUCCAAGUGAUUAUUUUUGUGUCCCAUGUGUUUAAGGGAUUUAAGAGUGACUAUAGGAGUACCCUGGUGGCUCAGUGGGUUAAAGAUCUGGCAUUGUCACUGCUGCGUCUAUGAUGUGGGUUCAAUCCCUGGCCCGGGAACUGCCACAUACCAUGAGGGCAGCCAGAAAACUUAGUGACUACAGUGACAAAAGUGUUUGACAGCACUGGGUUCCAUGGCCUCCAUGAGGCACCAGCUACAAUGUUGGAAAGUUAUCUGACACUGCACAGUCUCUGGGUAUUUGGUGGUGAAGACAAAUGCUAGGAUUUGCGCUGUUAAUAGCUGAGAGAUGAAAUGAGAUCAUGGAGGGGAUGAGCACAGCUCAGUGCCUGGGGCAGAGUGAACACAGUGAUGGGUAAUUGUCAGUGUUGAUGCUUUUGGUGUCAUUGCUAGCAGGGUUUGUCCAGAAGAUGAAAUCUGUCCUUCAUAUAAUUAAAAUGGUUCAACUCUUCACUGUUACAAAGACACUAUCAUAGAGAUGGAAUGACUCUUUUCUUUCUGGAGAGAUGUUUUCUGGCUUUACUCUUUUCUCCGUAUAAUCUAGAUUUGAAGGAGGUAGUGGAUUAAUGGCAGGAGAAGGCAGGAAGGGCAGGGUGUGAAUUGCAGCCUAAAGGAAUGAUGUGUCUGGAGACUUUUGCAUCUUUUUAUUGCACAGGAUGUACCCCCUGCCCCGGAAGUGAAAAUUUUCACUGUCAUUUCUGUUUCCUGUUCCAUUAGUCCAUUGACAUAGUACUAUAUAAUUGUGUUUUUUUCAAGUUCCUGUUUUCUAGCAACUUGCUACAACAAGCCAAUAGGCAAAGAAAUGACACAGAUCAAAUCCUAGAGAGCAGUCAAAUGCUUCCAUUCUUUUCUAGAAAUUGAAUGAUUUGCUUUCCUCAGAGAUCAGCUUCAUGAUUUCAUGAUGAUGCGGUUAAGCUUCUGAGUGAACAAGAUGCUGCCCAGAGGCCACAUUAUUCUCCAUGACUUUGUAGAGUGUGAAUCACCAUGUAGAAAUCUGAUAAAGUAAUUCAGUUAUUAUAAUUUGAGAAAUCAUGAGCCACAAACCGAUUAUUUGGUUCUUCUUAGUGUAAGAGUUUAAUGAUCUUGCAAAUAAUUAAAUUUUUUCUUAGCAUUGUCCCAACUGGCAGUUAUAGUUUAUAUCAGCGUAAGAUUAUUUUCUGAGAUGUAUGAUUAGGUCACAUUCUUAUCUUACAUAUUUAUGAGAUGUAUGAUUAGGUCACAUUCUUAUCUUACAUAUUUAUGAGAGAAACAGGUUUUUGUAUGUUCCUCAUGAGCAUGAAAGAGUUAAUAAAACUCCAGAGAAAGAUAAACAUAUUACUUUUUUCUAGUAACAUUAAUUCUUAUGCAUUUUAAAUUGAUUAAAACAAAGGGCUGAUUAAUAUGAGAAAAAGUUAAACACUAGCAAGUAAGUAAGCAAGUAAGUAUAUUGGAAAUAUAAAAUAAACGUAUAUUAUAAAACCACUGUAUUACAGAAAGGAUAUGAUUGAGCGAAUAACUUUUAUGGACAUCACAGGCGUUAUUGAAAAUGUAAUUACAUGCUUAUGCAGGACCAUUAAAAUAGCAUUUACUAUAAAAAUACUAUUUUUUCAUCCAAAGUGGGCUUAUGGUGAUAGUUUUUCACCAUCUUUUAAUUAGAUUAAGUGAACGUAUAGCCAAGGUAUGGAGGAUUUUUGUGUUCUUUCACAAGAUCUCAUAAUUUCAUAAAUAUUGGUCCUAAGGUUUCCAAGCUUUGAAGGGGAUUUUGCAAAGUACAAACCUCUUUUUUCUUUCUUUCUUUUUUUUUUUUUUUUUUUUUUACAAGUUAGAAUGUUUAGUCUAUGCAAAAGAUAAAUCUUUUGAAAAUUCAGUCUGUAACAUGCCCAGAGGAAACAAUUGCCUUUUAGAAGUUCCCUCCUGGAAUAUGUCUGUCUCUUCAAUAUUGGUAUAUUUUUGUUAUUGCUCACAAAUGUUGCUGAUGAAGGUGUUUCAAGUAAAGGAGGAAUUGAAAUAACGGGAAAAAUAAAGCUAUUUUUUAAUAUGUAACAGAAGGCAGAUUCAUCAGACAUGGAUUAAUGUUUAUGAUGUGCUUAACAGCAGAGAGCUCCAAUUUUUCCGGUGGACAUAUAGGAAUAUUAAUGACAAAAGGCCAGAUUCUUCCCCUUUGAAUUCCCUGUGGAUCUUUCUCAAGCGCCAGUGCAGACGUGGAAUCCAGGAGUACAAAUACAGACUUAGUCAAAGCAAACCUCCAUUCCAAAGGAGCUUGGUAUAUAUAUUUCAUGUCUAAUAUAAUAGUUAAAUUAGUUAAAUUUAACAUAUAUUAAAGAUCCAAGUUUUUUAAUAAUACGUACAGUGAGUCUAUUGAAUCAUAGAUGCUUCAUUGAAGUUCAGCUCAGGAGCCAAUUUUCCUAACUUAGGCUGGAACUAAAAACACAUAAUCUAGCUUGCAACAAAAUUUUGGCAAAAGUGAAGAGGCUAAUUGCAAAGAUUCAUCAUCAUUCAUUGCCAAGAAUUGAUAUACAAUAGCUGGGCUGAUUUAUUUGUAGUUUAUAAUGCUAAGUAAUGAGUGAAUAAUAAAAGGUAAAUGACCCCAGACUCCCCUCUUACACUGAGAAUGGAUAAGCAAUGAGACCCUACUGUACAGCACAGGGAACUAUAUCCAAUCUCUUGGGAUAGACCAUGAUGGAAGACAAUAUGAGAAAAAGAAUGUAUGUAUAUAUGUAU